GACGAACGCUGGCGGCGUGCUUAACACAUGCAAGUCGAACGGAAAGGCCCUGCUUUUGUGGGGUGCUCGAGUGGCGAACGGGUGAGUAACACGUGAGUAACCUGCCCUUGACUUUGGGAUAACUUCAGGAAACUGGGGCUAAUACCGGAUAGGAGCUCCUGCUGCAUGGUGGGGGUUGGAAAGUUUCGGCGGUUGGGGAUGGACUCGCGGCUUAUCAGCUUGUUGGUGGGGUAGUGGCUUACCAAGGCUUUGACGGGUAGCCGGCCUGAGAGGGUGACCGGCCACAUUGGGACUGAGAUACGGCCCAGACUCCUACGGGAGGCAGCAGUGGGGAAUAUUGCACAAUGGGCAGAAGCCUGAUGCAGCGACGCCGCGUGCGGGAUGACGGCCUUCGGGUUGUAAACAGCUUUAGCCUGUGACGAAGCGUGAGUGACGGUAAUGGGUAAAGAAGCACCGGCUAACUACGUG
RNAcentral lists this ribosomal RNA (468 nucleotides) under uncultured bacterium. RNAcentral's name for it is "partial 16S ribosomal RNA". It matches the Rfam family "Bacterial small subunit ribosomal RNA", at positions 28 to 507 of the family's 1533-position model. The record is from RNAcentral.